UAAAGGCAUGAACUACCAUUACCUGGCUCUGUGUCAGAUUUUUUGAUCUAACAUGUUUCAGUGAUUUUUUUUAUAAAUAAUUUUAGUACUAUGAAAAAUUAUCCAUUGUGAUAAAUACAGAUGAGAUGUAUAUUUUUCUCUUUAGGGAAAAUCAUGCCUAUCAUUAGCAAAAGUUUGAAAAUUGUGAUUCUUAACAUAAUACUGGGUAUAUGACAAUGGCAGUUAAAAAAAAGUCAUAAUAGAGAGACCAUGGAGAAAGAGACAAAGCUUAAAACAUUAGUAGGUUGGUAACUUACCCUUCCUUUAGCCUGUCUCACUGGUAAUUGUCUAUAGUCUCAAAUUAAAUUAACAGUGGACAAUUCCUCAAACAGAGCUUUGAGGAUGUAAAACAGGCCUUGAGGCCUUUUAACUGUGGUAAGAAGGUGUUGGUAUUACAUAACAUAACCUGAGGUUGGAGAGGACCACAUGGGAGCCUGUAACCAAAGCUAGAAAGUAACUUCUGGGAUGGAAGGAGGUUCCCUUGAAGCAGUGCUAACGCAAAUCUACCUCAGGUAAGUAGUCAGAGUAACUUUUUCAAGAUUUCAGACCAAAUGAAAUAAAUUAUAUUCCAUCCAUGUACACCUCUAUGCUUAUUGUUUCUGUUUACCUUUAAUUCUUAAAUAAAUAUUUGUUCUGAAAAAA
RNAcentral lists this long non-coding RNA (681 nucleotides) under Rattus norvegicus (Norway rat). RNAcentral describes it as "long non-coding RNA NONRATT012489". The record is from RNAcentral. Lineage: Eukaryota; Metazoa; Chordata; Mammalia; Rodentia; Muridae.